CCCUUAGAUGUUCUGGGCUGCACGCGCGCUACACUGAAGCUAUCAACACGUUUUCCCUCCCUGAGAAGGGCGGGUAACCUUUUGAAUCAGCUUCGUGGUAGGGAUCGGGGCUUGCAAUUGUUCCCCGUGAACCAGGAAUUCCUAGUAGACGCGAGUCAUAAGCUAGCAUCGAUUAAGUCCCUGCCCUUUGUACACACCGCCCGUCGCUACUACCGAUUGAACGUUUUAGUGAGGCAUUUGGACCGACGCAUCUCAGUUUAACCGCUGGUUUGUGUUGGAAAGACUUCCAAACUUGAGCGUUUAGAGGAAGUAAAAGUCGUAACA
Molecule: ribosomal RNA, 324 nt
Filed under: uncultured eukaryote
Lineage: Eukaryota
Description: partial 18S ribosomal RNA
Rfam family: Eukaryotic small subunit ribosomal RNA
Source: RNAcentral